RNAcentral lists this ribosomal RNA (484 nucleotides) under uncultured bacterium. Its description in RNAcentral is "partial 16S ribosomal RNA". It matches the Rfam family "Bacterial small subunit ribosomal RNA", at positions 30 to 507 of the family's 1533-position model. The record is from RNAcentral.
AUUGAACGCUGGCGGCAGGCCUAACACAUGCAAGUCGAGCGGAUGAAGGGAGCUUGCUCCUGGAUUCAGCGGCGGACGGGUGAGUAAUGCCUAGGAAUCUGCCUGUUAGUGGGGGAUAACGUCCGGAAACGGGCGCUAAUACCGCAUACGUCCUGAGGGAGAAAGUGGGGGAUCUUCGGACCUCCCGCUAUCAGAUUAGCCUAGGUCGGAUUAGCUAGUUGGUGGGGUAAAGGCCUACCAAGGCGACGAUCCGUAACUGGUCUGAGAGGAUGAUCAGUCACACUGGAACUGAGACACGGUCCAGACUCCUACGGGAGGCAGCAGUGGGGAAUAUUGGACAAUGGGCGAAAGCCUGAUCCAGCAAUGCCGCGUGUGUGAAGAAGGUCUUCGGAUUGUAAAGCACUUUAAGUUGGGAGGAAGGGCAGUAAGUUAAUACCUUGCUGUUUUGACGUUACCAACAGAAUAAGCACCGGCUAACUUCGUG